AGUAUUGUAUUCCACCUCGCCCUUCUUCAGGGUUUGACUGAUAUCAUACCAAAGGAGACUCUUCUCUGGAAACUGAAGCUUCUUAGAUCUGCUUCAGCUUAUGCAAAUUCCCGUCUCCAUGCUAUUACUGCUGAAGUACUUGUGCUCUCAAGUGGCAAAGACAACAUGCUUCCAAGUGGAAAUGAAGCUCAAAGGCUUG
This is a non-coding RNA of Nicotiana tabacum (common tobacco), 199 nucleotides long. The record is from RefSeq and is a predicted model, not a curated record. NCBI's taxonomy places the organism in Eukaryota, Viridiplantae, Streptophyta, Magnoliopsida, Solanales, Solanaceae.